UGGGGAAUAUUGCACAAUGGGGGAAACCCUGAUGCAGCGACGCCGCGUGGAGGAAGAAGGUCUUCGGAUUGUAAACUCCUGUUGUUGAGGAAGAUAAUGACGGUACUCAACAAGGAAGUGACGGCUAACUACGUGCCAGCAGCCGCGGUAAAACGUAGGUCACAAGCGUUGUCCGGAAUUACUGGGUGUAAAGGGAGCGCAGGCGGGAAGACAAGUUGGAAGUGAAAUCUAUGGGCUCAACCCAUAAACUGCUUUCAAAACUGUUUUUCUUGAGUAGUGCAGAGGUAGGCGGAAUUCCCGGUGUAGCGGUGGAAUGCGUAGAUAUCGGGAGGAACACCAGUGGCGAAGGCGGCCUACUGGGCACCAACUGACGCUGAGGCUCGAAAGUGUGGGUAGCAAACAGGAUUAGAUACCCUGGUAGUCCACACCGUAAACGAUGAUUACUAGGUGUUGGAGGAUUGACCCCUUCAGUGCCGCAGUUAACACAAUAAGUAAUCCACCUGGGGAGUACGACCGCAAGGUUGAAACUCAAAGGAAUUGACGGGGGCCCGCACAAGCAGUGGAGUAUGUGGUUUAAUUCGACGCAACGCGAAGAACCUUACCAAGUCUUGACAUCCUGCGACGAUGCUGGAAACAGUAUUUUCCUUCGGGACGCAGAGACAGGUGGUGCAUGGUUGUCGUCAGCUCGUGUCGUGAGAUGUUGGGUUAAGUCCCGCAACGAGCGCAACCCUUACUGUCAGUUACUACGCAAGAGGACUCUGGCAGGACUGCCGUUGACAAAACGGAGGAAGGUGGGGAUGACGUCAAAUCAUCAUGCCCUUUAUGACUUGGGCUACACACGUACUACAAGGGCGUUAAACAAAGAGAAGCAAGACCGCGAGGUGGAGCAAAACUCAGAAACAACGUCCCAGUUCGGACUGCAGGCUGCAACUCGCCUGCACGAAGUCGGAAUUGCUAGUAAUCGUGGAUCAGCAUGCCACGGUGAAUACGUUCCC
RNAcentral lists this ribosomal RNA (995 nucleotides) under uncultured bacterium. RNAcentral describes it as "bacterial SSU rRNA". It matches the Rfam family "Bacterial small subunit ribosomal RNA", at positions 355 to 1375 of the family's 1533-position model. The record is from RNAcentral.